UGCAAGUCGAACGGCAGCACGGACUUCGGUCUGGUGGCGAGUGGCGAACGGGUGAGUAAUAUAUCGGAACGUAUCCAAUAAUGGGGGAUAACUAAUCGAAAGGUUGGCUAAUACCGCAUACGCCCUACGGGGGAAAGCUAGGGAUCUUCGGACCUGGCGUUAAUGGAGCGGCUGAUAUCUGAUUAGCUAGUAGGUGAGGUAAAGGCUCACCUAGGCGACGAUCAGUAGCUGGUCUGAGAGGACGACCAGCCACACUGGAACUGAGACACGGUCCAGACUCCUACGGGAGGCAGCAGUGGGGAAUUUUGGACAAUGGGCGCAAGCCUGAUCCAGCCAUUCCGCGUGAGUGAAGAAGGCCUUCGGGUUGUAAAGCUCUUUCGCAAGGGAAGAAAACUUAUCCUCUAACAUAGGAUGAGGUUGACGGUACCUUGAUAAGAAGCACCGGCUAACUACGUGCCAGCAGCCGCGGUAAUACGUAGGGUGCGAGCGUUAAUCGGAAUUACUGGGCGUAAAGCGUGCGCAGGCGGUUUUGUAAGUCAGAUGUGAAAUCCCCGAGCUCAACUUGGGAACUGCGUUUGAAACUACAAGACUAGAAUAUGUCAGAGGGGGGUAGAAUUCCACGUGUAGCAGUGAAAUGCGUAGAGAUGUGGAGGAAUACCAAUGGCGAAGGCAGCCCCCUGGGAUAAUAUUGACGCUCAUGCACGAAAG
Molecule: ribosomal RNA, 708 nt
Filed under: uncultured beta proteobacterium
Lineage: Bacteria; Pseudomonadati; Pseudomonadota; Betaproteobacteria
Description: bacterial SSU rRNA
Rfam family: Bacterial small subunit ribosomal RNA
Source: RNAcentral